Molecule: long non-coding RNA, 330 nt
Organism: Lycium barbarum (goji berry)
Lineage: Eukaryota; Viridiplantae; Streptophyta; Magnoliopsida; Solanales; Solanaceae
Exons: 3
Source: RefSeq, a predicted model, not a curated record
CCACAGUACAAAUUGAUCCCCCUUAUUCCCAAUGCCUACAAUUGCACACAUGGGUCAUAGAAAACAGAGAAAUGCUUGCUUCUUUCAGUCUGAGGAGCACAUCUGAAUCUGGAUCUCUUAUCAACGUUUCAGUAGAUAAACAAAUAGUCCCAAUUGCAAAUGUUCAAUCACAACAGGACGGGCAUUCCUUCUCCAUUGAGGCAAAAGUAUCACUUCCAAAUAAACUCAAAAGUUGUUAUGUUUUACUAUGUCCCAACUGCAAACAAGAAGUGAGAAGUUUAAUAAAAAGAAAGUUUCUGUGUAUGACUUGUAAGCAACAAAAUAUGUUAA